GUGGGGAAUCUUGCGCAAUGGGCGAAAGCCUGACGCAGCCAUGCCGCGUGAAUGAUGAAGGUCUUAGGAUUGUAAAAUUCUUUCACCAGGGACGAUAAUGACGGUACCCGGAGAAGAAGCCCCGGCUAACUUCGUGUCAGCAGCCGCGGUAAUACGAAGGGGGCUAGCGUUGCUCGGAAUUACUGGGCGUAAAGGGCGCGUAGGCGGAUCGUUAAGUCAGGGGUGAAAUCCCAGAGCUCAACUCUGGAACUGCCCUUGAUACUGGCGAUCUUGAGUGUGAGAGAGGUAUGUGGAACUCCGAGUGUAGAGGUGAAAUUCGUAGAUAUUCGGAAGAACACCAGUGGCGAAGGCGACAUACUGGCUCAUUACUGACGCUGAGGCGCGAAAGCGUGGGGAGCAAACAGGAUUAGAAACCCCAGUAGUCC
RNAcentral lists this ribosomal RNA (425 nucleotides) under uncultured bacterium. RNAcentral describes it as "partial 16S ribosomal RNA". It matches the Rfam family "Bacterial small subunit ribosomal RNA", at positions 354 to 796 of the family's 1533-position model. The record is from RNAcentral.